This 819-nucleotide ribosomal RNA is filed under the name bacterium. Its description in RNAcentral is "bacterial SSU rRNA". It matches the Rfam family "Bacterial small subunit ribosomal RNA", at positions 29 to 859 of the family's 1533-position model. The record is from RNAcentral.
ACGAACGCUGGCGGCGUGCUUAACACAUGCAAGUCGAACGGAAAGGCCCAGCUUGCUGGGUACUCGAGUGGCGAACGGGUGAGUAACACGUGGGUGAUCUGCCCUGCACUCUGGGAUAAGCCUGGGAAACUGGGUCUAAUACCGGAUAUGACCAACUGUCGCAUGGUGGUUGGUGGAAAGCUUUUGCGGUGUGGGAUGGGCCCGCGGCCUAUCAGCUUGUUGGUGGGGUAAUGGCCUACCAAGGCGACGACGGGUAGCCGACCUGAGAGGGUGAUCGGCCACACUGGGACUGAGACACGGCCCAGACUCCUACGGGAGGCAGCAGUGGGGAAUAUUGCACAAUGGGCGGAAGCCUGAUGCAGCGACGCCGCGUGAGGGAUGACGGCCUUCGGGUUGUAAACCUCUUUCACCAGGGACGAAGCGUGAGUGACGGUACCUGGAGAAGAAGCACCGGCCAACUACGUGCCAGCAGCCGCGGUAAUACGUAGGGUGCGAGCGUUGUCCGGAAUUACUGGGCGUAAAGAGCUCGUAGGCGGUUUGUCGCGUCGNCUGUGAAAUUCUGCAACUCAAUUGCAGGCGUGCAGGCGAUACGGGCAGACUUGAGUACUACAGGGGAGACUGGAAUUCCUGGUGUAGCGGUGAAAUGCGCAGAUAUCAGGAGGAACACCGGUGGCGAAGGCGGGUCUCUGGGUAGUAACUGACGCUGAGGAGCGAAAGCGUGGGUAGCGAACAGGAUUAGAUACCCUGGUAGUCCACGCCGUAAACGGUGGGUACUAGGUGUGGGUUCCUUUUCACGGGAUCCGUGCCGUAGCUAACGCA